This 555-nucleotide ribosomal RNA is filed under the name Penicillium expansum. RNAcentral's name for it is "eukaryotic LSU rRNA". The stretch from base 177 to 329 matches the Rfam family "5.8S ribosomal RNA". Lineage: Eukaryota; Fungi; Ascomycota; Eurotiomycetes; Eurotiales; Aspergillaceae. The record is from RNAcentral.
ACCGAGUGAGGGCCCUUUGGGUCCAACCUCCCACCCGUGUUUAUUUACCUCGUUGCUUCGGCGGGCCCGCCUUAACUGGCCGCCGGGGGGCUCACGCCCCCGGGCCCGCGCCCGCCGAAGACACCCCCGAACUCUGCCUGAAGAUUGUCGUCUGAGUGAAAAUAUAAAUUAUUUAAAACUUUCAACAACGGAUCUCUUGGUUCCGGCAUCGAUGAAGAACGCAGCGAAAUGCGAUACGUAAUGUGAAUUGCAAAUUCAGUGAAUCAUCGAGUCUUUGAACGCACAUUGCGCCCCCUGGUAUUCCGGGGGGCAUGCCUGUCCGAGCGUCAUUGCUGCCCUCAAGCCCGGCUUGUGUGUUGGGCCCCGUCCUCCGAUUCCGGGGGACGGGCCCGAAAGGCAGCGGCGGCACCGCGUCCGGUCCUCGAGCGUAUGGGGCUUUGUCACCCGCUCUGUAGGCCCGGCCGGCGCUUGCCGAUCAACCCAAAUUUUUAUCCAGGUUGACCUCGGAUCAGGUAGGGAUACCCGCUGAACUUAAGCAUAUCAAUAAGCGGAGGA